AGUGAACGCUGGCGGUAGGCCUAACACAUGCAAGUCGAACGGCAGCACAGUAAGAGCUUGCUCUUACGGGUGGCGAGUGGCGGACGGGUGAGGGAUACAGCGGAAUCUACUUUUUCGUGGGGGAUAACGUAGGGAAACUUACGCUAAUACCGCAUACGACCUACGGGUGAAAGCAGGGGAUCUUCGGACCUUGCGCGAUUGAAUGAGCAGAUGUCGGAUUAGCUAGUUGUCGGGGUAAAGGCCCACCAAGGCGACGAUCCGUAGCUGGUCUGAGAGGAUGAUCAGCCACACUGGAACUGAGACACGGUCCAGACUCCUACGGGAGGCAGCAGUGGGGAAUAUUGGACAAUGGGCGCAAGCCUGAUCCAGCCAUACCGCGUGGGUGAAGAAGGCCUUCGGGUUGUAAAGCCCUUUUGUUGGGAAAGAAAAGCAGCAGGUUAAUACCCCGCUGUUCUGACGGUACCCAAAGAAUAAGCACCGGCUAACUUCGUG
Molecule: ribosomal RNA, 492 nt
Filed under: uncultured bacterium
Lineage: Bacteria
Description: partial 16S ribosomal RNA
Rfam family: Bacterial small subunit ribosomal RNA
Source: RNAcentral